AACUGCGUUGCCGUUGCCAGUGUUCCUUGAUGUGCCCGCGCCCCUAUAGGCACGUGUGCAGUUCGAAAUGAAUAGUGUACUUAUACAGGAAGAAAUGGAAGUUUGUUUACAUCGAUAGCUGUCUGUAUCGUCGUUCAUAAUAAAUGAAGAAUGACAGGUACAGGACUAUAAAGCACUGGAUGGUAUGAUGAACAGCAAGGAAGGAGUAGUGACCUCAUUGCAGCAUUACACUGGACAUUUUCCUGCAGAGUGCUUAAAACAACAAGUGGCUAGAGAAGGAUUGUUCCCACAGUAACUAGGAGAAAUGUAAACAAGUUUCCGUGAUAAUUUGUUGGAAUUGUUGCAAAAUGAAAUCCCAUGGAUACAGGAGAAUGGAACCCAUGGAGUCGGUGUCUACUAUUCGGACAGACUGACAGAUAUAACCAGAAACAGAAUUCAAGCAGAAUUGAAGUAGAGUUAGUUUGAGCUCGUCCUAGCUCAGGAGUCUACAGACCAAGGUAGGGUGCAAAUGGAUGAAGCCACUGACACUCAGUGCAACACUUGUGGAACCUCUUAUGUAACUGCUGAUAACUCAAGUCCUAUGGCAUAUAUUGUAUUAAAAGUUAAAUGUAAAUGAAAGAAUAAAGACUGCUUUAUCCAUC
Molecule: long non-coding RNA, 641 nt
Organism: Cryptotermes secundus
Lineage: Eukaryota; Metazoa; Arthropoda; Insecta; Blattodea; Kalotermitidae
Exons: 3
Source: RefSeq, a predicted model, not a curated record